CCCUGAUGGCUCAAAUGGUUAAGGAUCUGCCUGCAAUGCAGGAGACCCAGGUUCCAUCCCUGGAUCAAGGG
RNAcentral lists this transfer RNA (71 nucleotides) under Ovis aries (sheep). It matches the Rfam family "tRNA". Rfam says of the family: Transfer RNA (tRNA) molecules are approximately 80 nucleotides in length. Their secondary structure includes four short double-helical elements and three loops (D, anti-codon, and T loops). The record is from Rfam by way of RNAcentral. Lineage: Eukaryota; Metazoa; Chordata; Mammalia; Artiodactyla; Bovidae.